Molecule: ribosomal RNA, 253 nt
Filed under: uncultured bacterium
Lineage: Bacteria
Description: partial 16S ribosomal RNA
Rfam family: Bacterial small subunit ribosomal RNA
Source: RNAcentral
UACGUAGGUGGCAAGCGUUGUUCGGAUUUACUGGGCGUAAAGGGCGCGCAGGCGGUCUGUUAAGUCUGGGGUGAAAGCUCCCGGCUCAACUGGGAGAGGUCCUUGGAUACUGGCGGACUUGAGGGAGGCAGAGGAAAGUGGAAUUCCCGGUGUAGUGGUGAUAUGCGUAGAUAUCGGGAGGAACACCAGUGGCGAAGGCGGCUUUCUGGGCCUUACCUGACGCUGAGACGCGAAAGCGAGGGGAGCGAACCGG